Molecule: ribosomal RNA, 253 nt
Filed under: uncultured bacterium
Lineage: Bacteria
Description: partial 16S ribosomal RNA
Rfam family: Bacterial small subunit ribosomal RNA
Source: RNAcentral
UACAGGGGGUGCAAACGUUGCUCGGAAUUAUUGGGCGUAAAGCGCGCGUAGGCGGUGACUCAAGUCGGAUGUGAAAGCCCUUGGCUUAACCGAGGAAGUGCAUCCGAAACUGAGUCGCUAGAGUACGAUAGAGGGUCGCGGAAUUCCCGGUGUAGAGGUGAAAUUCGUAGAUAUCGGGAGGAACACCGGUGGCGAAGGCGGCGACCUGGGUCGAUACUGACGCUGAGACGCGAAAGCGUGGGGAGCGAACAGG